RNAcentral lists this ribosomal RNA (484 nucleotides) under uncultured bacterium. Its description in RNAcentral is "partial 16S ribosomal RNA". It matches the Rfam family "Bacterial small subunit ribosomal RNA", at positions 30 to 507 of the family's 1533-position model. The record is from RNAcentral.
AUUGAACGCUGGCGGCAGGCCUAACACAUGCAAGUCGAGCGGAUGAAGGGAGCUUGCUCCUGGAUUCAGCGGCGGACGGGUGAGUAAUGCCUAGGAAUCUGCCUGGUAGUGGGGGAUAACGUCCGGAAAGGGGCGCUAAUACCGCAUACGUCCUGAGGGAGAAAGUGGGGGAUCUUCGGACCUCACGCUAUCAGAUGAGCCUAGGUCGGAUUAGCUAGUUGGUGGGGUAAAGGCCUACCAAGGCGACGAUCCGUAACUGGUCUGAGAGGAUGAUCAGUCACACUGGAACUGAGACACGGUCCAGACUCCUACGGGAGGCAGCAGUGGGGAAUAUUGGGCAAUGGGCGAAAGCCUGAUCCAGCCAUGCCGCGUGUGUGAAGAAGGUCUUCGGAUUGUAAAGCACUUUAAGUUGGGAGGAAGGGCAGUAAGUUAAUACCUUGCUGUUUUGACGUUACCAACAGAAUAAGCACCGGCUAACUUCGUG